AAUGGCACGUAAAUGAAAAACAUGCGUGAAGCGUUUGUUCGUUCGUUAAUUAUGCGCUUCCCAAAGUGCAAUUAGACCUUCGUGAGUUGUAUGAUGUAACGCGCAUUUCUGGACUAGGCCGUGACAUUGCAUAACGUAUUAAUUGCGUAUAUCGUAACACGUGAGUAGCGUGGAGUUAUCGAUGCACUGGAUAAUAUAAUAACACACUGCUGGACAUUGUCGUCUCAUCGUAAUUACAAGUUUCUUAGGGGCAGUUACGGGUCUAUAUCAUGUAUCCAUAUUAAUGUUCUAAUACGCUUUUUAAUUCGAUGCAGCUUGAGUGCAAGAAAAUAAUCGAUCUACUCUUUGCUCGAAGCUCAAUUCGUACUUAUUUAAGGUUGAUAUGUCGAGCUGUUUGACUGAAUUUUCUGUUUGCAGGACGUGUGUGCCUAAGAAUCUAUAUUUAAAUUUUAAUAAUAGAUUUUCUCAUCAAUUUGUAAUCGACUUUUUGUAUUUGAAUUUAAAAUAUCGAUGCAAUUAGAUAACAAAGUCUUGGCAUUAAUUUAAAUUGAAUUAAGCCUUGAUGCUAUAAAAGUUUUAAGUUCAGGUUUAAACAUGAAGAUUCAAUGCCGCUGAAAACGUUUCCUCCGGAGAAAAGUCGAUUGCAAAACGGUCGACGCGAAUACGCUUGCAAGUUCAAGUCCACUACCGCUAUAUCCCGCGCCUUCAUAAAUUUUCUCUUCCACUUUGCCAAGGAGAAGCCUUGCCAACUCUGCUUCUUGAAACGUACGCUUAGAAAAGUACGCUUUACCUUAAAGAUCGAAUCAGCGAAAAAUUUGAAAACUCGUUCAUCUUUAUUUGUACUCGAGAUACCGGAAUCGACGAUUCGCGCAAAAAUUAGAAAUCGACGACAACGUACGCGGAAGAGGAUGAAGACAGAAGAGAUCAGACGAAGGGAGACAACGAGCGGAGCGUUUUGAAACGGUACGUGUUUCGUCACGCUAGCCUGUGCACCGUGUACGUGCGCCGUCGUAAAUGCAAUCGUCCACGAGGGACCGAGACAGCGGCAGAAGGAAGAAGAAGAGGAAGAGAAGUGGACGACCGAGGGAGACGAGGAGGGACCUCGACAUCGUCGUCGUCAACGCGUCGCGAGAGACCUUGGCGGUCCGAAGAGCGUUACCAUUUUCGCGGGGCGUAGUAGCGGAUUGACGCAGGUGUGGACCGAUCGCGCGGUGCCAUAGGCCACGCGGAGUACUCGAUUACGCGGCGUUAGGGUGGGGCACGAAAGGGCGCGGGCGUUUUCACACGGGGUGAAAAAAAAAGGCCGAAGGUGCGGACGGAGUUCGAUCGUAAGAAGCGACCUCGAACUGACGAACGGUGGGAAAAAUCUGUCGCGAUCUCUGAUCGCGACGGUGACGCUUCGUUAAAUAUCUAACGCUAAAUGCCCGUAUCUGAUCCCGAUGCCUUUCAAACCGUGUAGAACUUUUUUAUCAAAUCAUUUUCUGGAACGAUACGUUCGUAAUUUUCAAAACCGCAACUCUCCAAAGUUCUUCGUCUAACAUCACCAAUUGAUUCUACGUGGAUAAUUCAGAAGUGUAUCAUUAUUAACAAAGGAGCGCGCGCGCCGCUCCGACUGAUCGACUGACCGGUGGACGCGGUGGGGAUCUCGCCGCUGCCGUCAGGAAAAUCAACGUCUCUUCUUGGCAGAAACGGAGGUAGCCCGUGGGUGGCGGCGGCACGACAGACAUCGCCGAGGCUCUUCCGCUUUUUUGACAGAUGCGAGUGUCAGUGCCGCGCGACGCGUCGCAGUGCCCGUCGAGUGAAGAGGUCGAGCAAUUGUUUACGACAUUGUUUACGCGGCGUUCGCUCGUUUGCGGGCUGAAACGAUUCCGACGAACUACGAAGUGAGCGAGAUUACA
Long non-coding RNA from Solenopsis invicta (red fire ant), 1898 nucleotides. RefSeq lists it as uncharacterized. The transcript has 3 exons. The record is from RefSeq and is a predicted model, not a curated record. NCBI's taxonomy places the organism in Eukaryota, Metazoa, Arthropoda, Insecta, Hymenoptera, Formicidae.